Molecule: ribosomal RNA, 65 nt
Filed under: Aspergillus penicillioides
Lineage: Eukaryota; Fungi; Ascomycota; Eurotiomycetes; Eurotiales; Aspergillaceae
Description: partial 28S ribosomal RNA
Source: RNAcentral
AGGUUGACCUCGGAUCAGGUAGGGAUACCCGCUGAACUUAAGCAUAUCAAUAAGCGRGARGAAGU